GGGGAGGACAGCGAGUGCACGUGGGACAGGAAGUGUGGGCCACGUCUGAGGGCAGCCACAGUCCAGCUCAGCUUAGGGAGGGGUGGACACCUGACAGGAAGCGAGCGGGUGCUGGGCAGACCCAGGUGCGGGAGCUGGUGGUGCAGACGCAGGCUCCUCUGAACCUGGGAUGAGCCUGAGCUGGACAGGAGUGAUCCCUCUGGGACAUGGGAGCCCGCUUCGUGACCUCAGGGAGAACAAAAGAGCGAACGACCCGCCUUCCCCACACUGCGGUCACCGUCACCGUCUGGAGCAACCAGUGACAUUUCUGGACUUCCAUUACUUCCCCCUCCGGUCCACAUUCUUCCUACCGAGCCAGAAGAGACACUGCAAACAGGAGCACGGUCCCCGGGCCAGCAGCUGCCACCCAGUGCUCCUGUGUCUGACAGGAAGAGGAAGCAGAGCACAGAGGCGGAGUUAUGGUCAGAAUAUCGGGAGUAACGGCAGGGGCUGCGCAGGGUCGCGCAAGGCGGGUCUGCAGUGGGAGCUCAAAGAUCAAUGAGCUGGUAGUAAGAAGGGCUAAGUAGCUGAACGGGAAGACCACUUAAGCAAUACAAAUAGUCAAUAAGCUCAUCCAUCCACAGAGAAAUGCUUACUAGAGGAUGUGGGGUUCUGUUCUUUUCACCUAUCAGAUUGCAAACAAAGAACCUCCACCCUCGGGUGCAAAUCUGGCUGUGGAGAAAUCACGCUGCUUUGAUUUGUCACUGGCAGGUGUGAUGUGAGACCGGCUCAGACAAGUGGCGGGUUCUGUGUUCAGGACAACAACGUCUCCACCACUGAACAGAACUGGAUGUUGCACAAGCUGAUUCCCUCACAGGCGAACAAAGGACCUGUUACGGCAGUGUCCACAGCAUUAAUUAAAAGUGAUUAAAAUAAUUAAAAAUAGCAAUGAGCCACAAGGUAAAUUGUGCAUGCUGUG
This 958-nucleotide long non-coding RNA is filed under the name Fukomys damarensis (Damara mole-rat). RNAcentral's name for it is "lncRNA (ENSFDAG00000031830.1)". Lineage: Eukaryota; Metazoa; Chordata; Mammalia; Rodentia; Bathyergidae. The record is from RNAcentral.